AUUGAACGCUGGCGGCAUGCCUUACACAUGCAAGUCGAACGGUAACGGGUCCUUCGGGAUGCCGACGAGUGGCAAACGGGUGAGUAAUAUAUCGGACAGUGCCCAGUAGUGGGGGAUAACUGCUUGAAAGAGCAGCUAAUACCGCAUACGACCUGAGGCUGACAGGGGGCGAUCGCAAGACCUCUCGCCAUUGGAGCGGCAGAUAUCAGAUUAGCUAGUUGGUGGGGUAAAGGCCUACAAAGGCAACGAUCUGUAGUUGGUCUGAGAGGACGACCAGCCACACUGGGACUGAGACACGGCCCAGACGCCUACGGGAGGCAGCAGUGGGGAAUUUUGGACAAUGGGCGCAAGCCUGAUCCAGCAAUGCCGCGUGCAGGAAGAAGGCCUUCGGGUUGUAAACUGCUUUUGUCAGGGAAGAAAUCUUCUGGGCUAAUACCCCGGGAGGAUGACGGUACCUGAAGAAUAAGCACCGGCUAACUACGUGCCAGCAGCCGCCGUAA
RNAcentral lists this ribosomal RNA (500 nucleotides) under uncultured bacterium. RNAcentral's name for it is "partial 16S ribosomal RNA". It matches the Rfam family "Bacterial small subunit ribosomal RNA", at positions 30 to 523 of the family's 1533-position model. The record is from RNAcentral.